RNAcentral lists this long non-coding RNA (826 nucleotides) under Canis lupus familiaris (dog). RNAcentral describes it as "lncRNA (ENSCAFG00040003430.1)". The record is from RNAcentral. Lineage: Eukaryota; Metazoa; Chordata; Mammalia; Carnivora; Canidae.
UCUUGCAUUUUUAAUGUGUUUUAAAUCUAAGAAAAUGAACAGGGUGGAAAUGAACAGAAGGGAAGCAAGAAAGAAGUGCGGUCAUCUGGAUGAUGAGCGAGAUACAGCCAGGAGCGGAUUCGGGAGGAAGCUGAUUAAUCUGGCAUCGGACACGCUGGGUGUGAAGGCUCAUGUUUCAUCCACGUGGAAGGCCUGGCAGACUCAAAUGAGAAGGAUGUACAAGUUCGGCCAACAGCCAUGCCUGUCUGGCUGUGUCUGCUAUGAGGGUGCAUGUGUACUGGAGGGAGCUGUGUUGGCACACAAAGAGGCUGUGGCACCAUUGCACCCUCAGGAACCAAAGGGAAUGGAAGAGGGAAUGAGGCACUACCCGGGUUUAUUCCAGAUAAGCCACUUCUAUUGGAAGUGGGCCAAGGGGAAAGAAGAUGUCCAAGAUCCAAUCUCAUGCUCGCUUGAGAGGAUUCAGUGUGGUUGGUUGGGAUCAAGGGGACAUGCAGGCUGUAGCCAGGAUCACAGGCCCAGGAUGCCUGCAUCCAGCUGCCCAAAUCGGACAUGCUAAGGACACGCCAUCCUCUCCUGAAUCUUCAUUUAUGUACAAAGCCCUAGAGGCCCCUCACCAAGGUUUUCCUUUAGACAGUCCAGGCUCCUGACUGGUUCAAAGGCUUUCGCUGACAUUUCAGUUUGGAUUUUCCCAAACUGAAAGGUUCUGGGUGUUCUAGAGAUUUUUAAACCCUAAAUACUUUGAAAGGCGAUGGUUUGCUGGAAGCGGGACAAGCCAGUGUUAAAACGUGCGGUGAAAGAAGAGGGAGCAGAACAGAUCAAAAAUCAG